ACUCCCGUAGCUCAAGUGGUAGAGCAGCGGUCUCCAAAACCGCAUGUUGCAGGUUCGAUCCCUGCCGGGAGUG
This 73-nucleotide transfer RNA is filed under the name Caudoviricetes sp. RNAcentral's name for it is "tRNA-Trp". It matches the Rfam family "tRNA". From Rfam's summary of the family: Transfer RNA (tRNA) molecules are approximately 80 nucleotides in length. Their secondary structure includes four short double-helical elements and three loops (D, anti-codon, and T loops). Lineage: Duplodnaviria; Heunggongvirae; Uroviricota; Caudoviricetes. The record is from RNAcentral.